CAAUUCAGGUAAGUUUCCUUUGCUUUAUUCUUUAUAUAGUGUGCAAUCAAGUUUUCUCCCUUCCAUUAUGUUCUGUUGUUUGUAUUACUCCUAGAUAACCAGGAAAGUGUAGGGAGAAGCAAGGUCAGGAGACAAUGUAUAGGAAAUCUGAUGGAUUUCAAAGUAUUAAGUCAUAGAUCAAUCCAAGAGUCACUAUUUGUUGUCUACUUUUCUCCUUGUAUUUGAUAUCCAAAAUCAAGACCACAGGCCCAGCUCUCUUCUAAAUUUGUGUCAUUAAAGAAAAUUUAAGACCACCCCCAUCCAAAUAAAUACAGUGACGGAUUCUAUCAGAAGCCCCCACAAGUUGUCCUGGGAGAGCAAAGUACAAACAUCAUUUGUCCUGGGACAAAAGGAAAGGUUUCUACAGGUAGGAACAAUUGAGGGGACAUUGGGUGUAGCGGAGUUUGGCCACACAGUAAGGAUGGAUCAAAGUUCCACGGAAAAUGGGAAGGCUGAACACAUAUCUACAAAUUGAAACGGCUACAGUUUUUAAUCGUCCUGUGAAGAAGCAGGGGGUGAGGCUACCCCUGGUUAUCAGGAGACAGAAAUGUUUACUGAACGGAGCAACUGCAGGAUCAGGUGGGUGUUUGCCUUCAGGUGGGCAUUUCAGAAGGUAAGAGUGGAUGCCUUAAGCCUGCAUGAGGCCAGGGAACAGGGAAGUGCUUCCAUAGUCUUUGACAUAGCUCCACCUAGCGGCCAGCCGUGUUUACUACCACUCGGUUCACCCAACCUUCUUCGUGUGUCUGCCAGUCACUCAAGAACUACAAUCCUGUUUUUCUACAGUUGAAGAAUAAAGACCCAAAUAAGUGAGACACAACAAAAACUCCUCAAAUUUCAUCGACAGGUCACUAAUAAUGGUACUUAAAAUGCGUGUAAUUUACCAAUUGUUAUGACCUUCCCCUAUUUUGAAUCUCAAAUCUGUUUAAAAUAUGCUUCGUGGGCUUUGAUACACCGAUAAUCUUAUAUUUUACUGUGCAGGAAAACGUGAUGGCAGUAAGAGAUUUCUACUUUCUAGUCACUGAGUGGCAAUAAAAUCAAAGUGAAGAUUUAUCUCCUAGGAUUGGAACCAAGCACAGCCAAAUUCCAUCUCCUCCUCAGCUUGGUACCCCACGGUUCCUCAAAAAUAGGUUUUGUGCCCAUAACUCUGGGCCCACAUGUUUCAAAUCGUUGAGCUAACGUGAGUGAGAAUUCAUAUCCUAUAGAAGCUUAGUGUAUUAAGUAGUAAACCAGAAGGUUUUAAUUUUAAAAAGUGAGUCAAAUUGAAAUGGGAAUUUUAUGACACAUUAUGUGCUUGACAGAUGAAGCAUAUUUGUGUAAGCAACAUAACUAUGGAGUAUUGUAUAGAGACAGUAAUAUUAAUGAAAUUAAAUAUUCAUGUCUGGUUUUGUCCACAAAACAAGAAAAACAUGAUAUUUAUUGACCACAGAUAAUUCUUCACAUUUAUCAAUCCUCAUAUUCAAAAUUUCUGAAACUGCUGUUUCUUUUGAAAUUUUGGUUCCAUGUGGAAUAAAAACACAUGUGGCACCAUUUCUGUCAUCAGGAAAUCUCAGUCCUCCCAGAAUUAAGUUAAAACAUAAUCGGAUGAUGAAAUAGGUGAGUCCUGGUAUGGUAGGGUGGCAAGAGGACCCUUUAACAUAAGGAGCCCCUUCUGAAUCAAUCUCAUUUCAGAACUGAGUCCCCUUUGAAGGGAGUUGGAAAUCAGAGAAGAAUCUCCUAGAGGAGGAGUCCACUCUUCUGCAACCUCCUUUUUGCUGAUCAUGACUUGGACUGUUAUACGAGAUGUUGAAUUGAGUUUCUCCCAUUGAUUGGUUCAACCUCUCAGCUGCUGCUGUGGGUCUGGGCCACAACCAGGUUGGAGUGGUUCUGCGAGUUGGGAGGAUCUCACAGCCUAGACUGGUGAUCGCAGGCAGAAAUAGAAUGGGACCAACCCAUGUCAACUACAGAUUGUCUAGUAGCUCUAUGAAUCAGUGUGCAUGUCACACUCAGAGCACGGCUCAAUUCAGAGGAGCUGAAUUCCAAGGGCUUGAUUUCCACAGGUGGUUGGUGGCUACAAUAUUGGACACCCCAGGUCUAGUCUAUUUUACCAGCUCAGGUCAAAGCUGAAUGACCAACUGAGUCUUUAAUUCUACUUAGUAUCUCAAAUAUCAGAAGAUAUCAGAAGAGCAGCACCAAGAGUCACUUAUGUUUAUAUUUG
Molecule: long non-coding RNA, 2233 nt
Organism: Herpailurus yagouaroundi (jaguarundi)
Lineage: Eukaryota; Metazoa; Chordata; Mammalia; Carnivora; Felidae
Exons: 3
Source: RefSeq, a predicted model, not a curated record